RNAcentral lists this transfer RNA (72 nucleotides) under Sphaerodactylus townsendi. RNAcentral describes it as "tRNA-Ala". It matches the Rfam family "tRNA". Rfam says of the family: Transfer RNA (tRNA) molecules are approximately 80 nucleotides in length. Lineage: Eukaryota; Metazoa; Chordata; Lepidosauria; Squamata; Sphaerodactylidae. The record is from RNAcentral.
GGGGCUGUGGCUCAAUAGUAGAGCAUCUGCUUGGCAUGCAAAAGGUCCUAGGUUUAAUCCCCAGCACCUCCA